This 254-nucleotide ribosomal RNA is filed under the name uncultured bacterium. RNAcentral describes it as "partial 16S ribosomal RNA". It matches the Rfam family "Bacterial small subunit ribosomal RNA", at positions 524 to 776 of the family's 1533-position model. The record is from RNAcentral.
UACGGGGGGGGGCAAGCGUUGUUCGGAAUUACUGGGCGUAAAGGGCGCGUAGGCGGCCUUCUAAGUCGGACGUGAAAUCCCUCGGCUUAACCGGGGAACUGCGUCUGAUACUGGAUGGCUUGAGAUUGGGAGAGGGAUGCGGAAUUCCAGGUGUAGCGGUGAAAUGCGUAGAUAUCUGGAGGAACACCGGUGGCGAAGGCGGCAUCCUGGACCAACACUGACACUGAGGAGCGAAAGCCAGGGGAGCAAACGGG